GUGUGUUGCUACCCGCAGGCAGUCUUUGGUUGCCCAGGAAACAGAUGGCGGAUGAAGGGCGCGCAUACAAAAGAGCACAAACCUGUAGCAGCAGCUGGGGAGCGGCUCCACUGACUUAUUCAUGUCGACGCAGCCCCUUACAGCCAACACGGUCCUUUGUUUCGGGACUUAUCUACAUUAUCCUGUCCUCCAAACAGGAUUGCACGCAGCUGCUCUCGGCACUCCCACUUGUGCUUGCAGCAGCAGCUCUGCAGCUAAACAAGAUAUAGGAGCGACCAUUUCCCUCCUUUACUGAAGGGAACAACACAGUGCAUGUUUGACACGUUGGAAGCUCUGGUGAUGGGAACUAAAACAAUUGUGACAACGUUGUGCGACAUGUUCAACCUUCAGAUGUCUGGAAGGUGCUGGGAUUUACUGAAUUCAUCUUCAAGGGCAGUUGACAUGACAUCGAUUCAGGCUACUCGAAUGAGCUAAACAAACUGGAAAGGUUAUGCUCCCAAGUCUAUUAUCUUAACACGCUACUAUGGACAGCAAUCGGUGUCCAAACCCCUUUAAACUUGUAAGGCAAGCAGUGAUCCUCCGCUGCCAUCUCUCCAAGUUCAAAUGGGUUGGACGUCCAUCACAGUCACUUGCAGCCUUUAAAUUAAUAAUCUCAAGAGAAAAUCUAAUUUUAUGUCUUUUAAUUUUAGCCAGUUUAAAUAAAUUGACACCAAUAAACAUAAAAAAAAAAAAAAGUAAAUCGUAUGUAGUUGCAGCAGGAUUAAAAGCAUUCAAGAUAAGUAGUUUGAGAUUUAUUUUUUUUUUCUGUAGCUUUUGUUCAGCUUUGUGUUGUGUGUCCCUGGCAGUUACACCAAUGCACUCCAGUUUGGGUCACACUUUUGACACAUUGUGCUCCUGUACUGACUACAUUGCUUGGACGGUUCUCCACGUGCUGCCUCAAUUACGGGAUAUACUGGAACUAUGGCUUCCCUUCUAACCUGUAUCUUCAAAGGAUGAUCAACUUCUCAUUCUUUUGUGUGUCAGUGGAGUAUGCAUUUUAGAAAUCAGCUUUCCACCAAUUUGCAGCAGGGCAAAUGUGUCAUAUGACAGUAUUUUGUCCUUUUUUUUUUUUUUUUUUUUUAAUCAGGCAUGUAAAUCCUAAAGUAGUUUUUAUUAACCACAUUUUGUGUAUGAAAAAGCUGCUGCAACAGCAGAACACCUAUUUUCUGCUGUAUGUGUGCACUGGCCUCCUCCCGCUUCCUUGUUUACCUCUCCUAAUGACACAAUAAGCAAACAUCUAAAUUUACCAAACACAAUUAUUGAAAACCUCAUACAGUCGUAUGAAAAAGUAUCUCAACCUUUUGAAAUUUCUCACAUUUCUGCAUAAAAUCACCAUCAAAUAUGAUCUGAUCUUUGUCCAAAUCACACAGAUGAAAAAAUAGUGUCUGCUUUAACUAAAACCACCCAAACAUUUAUAGGUUGUAAUAUUUUAAUAAGGAUAGUAUUCAAAGAACGACAGAAGGGGGAAAAAUAGUGGAACCAUCACAUUUAAUAUUUUGUGCCACCCGCCUUGGCAGCAAUAACUCCAACCAGAUGCUUCCUGUAGCUGCAGAUCAGUCUGGCGCAUCGAUCAAGACUAAUCUUGGCCCAUUCUUCUCUACAAAACUGCUGUAGUUCAGUCAGAUUCCUGGGAUGUCUGGCAUGAAUCACUGUCUUUAGGUCAUGCCACAGCAUCUCAAUGGGGUUCAAAUCUGAACUUUGACUUGGCCAGUCCAGAACGUGUAUUUUGUUCUUCUGAAACCAUUCUGAAGUUUAUUUACUUCUGUGUUUGGAAUCAUUAUCUAGUUACAGCAUCUGCCCUCUUUUUAGGUCCAACUGUCUGACAGACGGCCUCAGGUUUUCCUGAAAAACAUCCUGAUAAACUUUUGAAUUCAUUCUUCCAUUAAUGAUUGCAAGUUGUCCAGGCCCUGAGGCAGCAAAACAGCCCCUAAUCAUGAUAAUCUCUCCACCAUGCUUCACGGUGGGGAUAAGGUGUUGAUGUCAGUGAGCUGUUCCAUUUUUCCUCCACACAUGAUGUUGUAUGUUACCCCCAAACAAUUCAACGAUGGUUACACCAGUCCACAAAAUAUUUUGCCAAAACUUUUGUGGAGUGUCCAAGUGCCUUUUUGUGAACACUAAACGAGCAACAAUGUUUUUUUUUAGACAGCAGUGGCUUCCUCCGUGGAGUCCUCCCAUGAACACCAUUCUUGGCCAUAGUUUUACAUAUAGUUGAUGUGUGCCCAGAGAUAUUGGACUGUGCCAGUGAUUUCUGUGAGUCUUUAGCAGACACUCUUGUUUUUUUUUUUUGUUUUUUUUUUUCUUACCUUGCUGAGUAUUCUAUGCUGAACUCUUGGCGUCAUCUUUGAUGGACGGCCACUCCUGGAGAGAGAAGUAACAGUGCCAAACUCUUAUCUGUAGACAACUUAUUUUACUGUUGAUUGAUGAACAUCCAGACUUUUAGAGAUGGUUUUGUAUCCUUUCCCAGCUUUAUAUUAAUCAACAAUCCUUGAUCGCAGGUCUUCAGACAGCUCUUUUGACCGAGCUAUGAUGCACAUGAGACAAUGCUUCUCAUCAAGACAAUUCAUACCAGGCCAGGUCUGUGUUUCAUAGUGGGCAGGUCAGCUUUAAACCACUCAGCAGUGAUUAGGCACACGCCUGACUUGAAUUCUUUGGUUAAAAUUGGUUUCUAUUCCUCUUUAAGUCUCCUUAGGCAUAGGGCUCACGUACUUAUUUUACCCCUUCUGUCAUUGUUUGCAUGCUAUCCUCAUUAAAAUAUGAAAACCUACAAAUGUUUGGGUGGUUUUCGUUAAAGCAGACGUUGUUUUCUUCAUCUGUGUGAUUUUGACAAGGAUCAGAUCACAUUUGAUGGUGGUUUUAUGCAGAAAUGUGAGAAAUUCCAAAAGGUUCAGAUACAUUUUCAUACCACUGUAUUUUAAAGCUGGUACAGUUGGUUACAGAGGCCAAACAAAAAAUUAUUUCACUUUCAAAACUGAACACUGAUCAAGAGUGUUCUAUGAUGAUGAUGCAUACCUUUGGGUUUCUCUUUAUGUUUUACAGUAUAUACAAUACGUAUUGUAUAGUGUGCAUUUUACUGAGGUGUGAAUGCACGUUUGUAUGCAUGUGCCAUCUUUUUGUGUCUCUGCGUGUCCGUGUGCAUGUGUAUUCUAAAUCUUCUAGCUGCUAAACACACCAGACCCUGAAGAAAAUAUUGACAAAUGACUAUCUGGUAUUUUUUCAUUGUUUCUGAAAACUGUAGUAAUAGCAUGAAGCUACCCUAUAUAGAAAAUCCUUGUGAAUAAUCACAAGAAUGCCGCUGAAGGAGUAACUUGUAUCUAGUUCAUUAAAAAAAUCAGGGCUGUCAAAUUUAUCGCGUUAACGGGCGGUAAUUAAUUUUUUAAAUUAAUCACGUUAAAAUAUUUAAUGCAAUUAACGCAUGUGCGGCACGACCCACUCAUGCAUUGCCGCAAACAACCUGUAAUGGCGCCGUUUUACUAAUAUACAGAGCUAAGAGGCAGCGUCAAGUGAGUGGAGAAGAUACAAGCAGUCACUGUAGCCAUGCUUUUAAUUGACUGAAGCAUUAACAUCUCUUCCACAACAACUAAAAAUAUUGUGGGAAGCGACGUGGGGUCAAAUAACAGGAGUCGAUCUUUUUCUUAAUACCCUGUAUUGUACACAACGCAGAGAAGAUAUAUCAAUUGCUGCCAUCACACACAGUCAUGGUUGCACCACUUCCCAUCAUGCAUUUGGGCAGAACAGUUAAAUCGCUACAGUAUAAUUUACUGAAAGCUCAACAAAUAGACUAGAUGGCAAUAUUUAGUCACAAUAUACAAACUCACAUUUAUCCUCUAAGAAUUACAAGCCUUUCUAUCCGUGGAUCCCUCUCACAGAAAGAAUGUUAAUAAUGUUAAUGCCAUCUUGUGGAUUUAUUGUUAUGGUAAACAAAUACAGUACUUAUGUACUGUAUGUUGAAUGUACAGUGCCUUGCAAAAGUAUUCGGCCCCCUUGAACCUUGCCACCUUUCGCCACAUUUCAGGCUUC
Molecule: long non-coding RNA, 4056 nt
Organism: Corythoichthys intestinalis (scribbled pipefish)
Lineage: Eukaryota; Metazoa; Chordata; Actinopteri; Syngnathiformes; Syngnathidae
Exons: 3
Source: RefSeq, a predicted model, not a curated record